GAAAUUUUCUGUUUAAGGCUUGGCCGCCUUCUGUAGUCUAUGAGCUUUUCAAGAACAGGGCACACAUUGUUAGCAUGGAAUUUCCAGUGACUAAUGCUAAGCUAGAACAUAUUUGUGGUGGUGAAUUUUAUGUGUCAACUUAACUGGACCACAGGAUGCCCAGACUUUUAGCCAAACAUUAUCCUGUGUGUGUCUGGGAGACUGUUUCUGGAUGACAUGGACGUUUGAAUCCAUAGACUGAGUAAAGCAGAUUGCCCUCCCGAAUGGAGGUAGGCCUCAUCUAGUGAGGUGAAGACGUGACUACAAUGAAAAGGCUGAGUAAGAGGGAAUGCGUCCUACCUGACUUGUUUGAGUUGGGACCAUGGUCUUUCUCAGCCUUCAGACUCGGACUGAAACAGCAGCUCUUCUUGGAUCUCCAGCCUGCCGACUUUCAGCUUGGAACUUAUGCCAUCAGCUCUCAUGGUUCUCAGACCUUCAGACUUGAACUAGAACUACAAACCAGUUUUCCUGGGUCUCCAACUUGUGGACUGCACAUCUUGGGACUUCUCAGCCUCCCUAAUUGUCAUCUUCUAUGGGCAUCGGUAGCUUUCCCCACCAAAACCAGGACCCAGGGCUCCAACAUACGACACAUAAGGACAACCCAUGAAAGAUUUGAAAAGUGUCGAUUUGAAUAUGUUUCUACUGUGGAAGACGGCUGCAUACCCUAGGUAAAAAACAACAGCAGAAACAAAAUUACUUCAUCAUUUGUCUGUAAGUUGUACAUAUUUGAUACUUCUCUUCUAAAUAUGGCAGCAUGCUUAUCUUAAGAAUAAGGCCUUUUAUAUAACCACAAUAAUUAUCACAUCUACAAAAUUAAUAAUAAUCUCCUCAUAUUGGCUAAUAUCCAACCCAUUAUCAAUUUUCUCUAAUUUUCAGUAGUCAGGAUUUCUGUAUGUUUUUUUCAUUGCUGUAUCUCUGACAGCCCAAACGGUGCCUGGCACAUAGUAAGCCCUCAAUAAAUAAUUUUUAAAUGGGUGAAUCUACAUCCCUGAUUAAAUUGAGUUUCUUAAAGGCAGAAGGUUGUAUUAUAGAUCUGUUUAUCCCAAGUCUUAACAUGGUGCCUGGAACAUGGUUGGCGCUUCAUUAAAUGUUUGUACAAUUUCACUGAAAGGAAGGACACAUUGCAUAAAUCAUAGUUUUGGGAGUUGAAGUGACAUAGAACUAAGGCAUAUUCAGAGAAGAAAUAAUUGAGGAAAGGCAAGGAAAGCUAAUAUGUUUGAAGAAGAGAGCUUGGAUCCAAGUCUUAAAGGAAAUAGUGUCACUCAGCGUGGCACAGAGGAAAUCUCUAUUCCACAGAUGCAGAUAAUCUUUUCUGACCUUAGGCAGUUAUCUCACAAAUAUAAGGUCUUGAUCCCAAAGGAGAACCUGUAACAAGCAAAGAAGGUUUAAUUUCUGUCAUCACUGUUAAAGAAAGCUGCUCAAGACCAUGCCGUAAGGUAGAGAAAUAAAUAACAUUUUCAUGGAUGAGAGAUGGCAACAUUUUCAGAAUAUUUUAUAUCAGACCAUAGAGUAUAAUC
This is a long non-coding RNA of Equus caballus (horse), 1556 nucleotides long. NCBI's taxonomy places the organism in Eukaryota, Metazoa, Chordata, Mammalia, Perissodactyla, Equidae. The record is from Ensembl.